This 536-nucleotide ribosomal RNA is filed under the name Paragrallomyia vulpes. RNAcentral describes it as "partial 16S ribosomal RNA". The stretch from base 89 to 456 matches the Rfam family "Bacterial large subunit ribosomal RNA", at positions 2072 to 2648 of the family's 2925-position model. The record is from RNAcentral. Lineage: Eukaryota; Metazoa; Arthropoda; Insecta; Diptera; Micropezidae.
UGCUGGAAUGAAUGGUUGGACGAAAUAUAAACUGUUUCAAUUUUAUUUUUUAUAGAAUUUUAUUUUUUAGUAAAAAAGCUAAAAUUUUAUUAAAAGACGAGAAGACCCUAUAAAUCUUUAUAAUUUGUUUAUUUUUAUUGGAAAGAUGUUUUUUGUAUUAAUAAUUUAGAUUAUUUUAUUGGGGUGAUAUUAAAAUUUAAUUAACUUUUAAUUUUUUUUUAACAUAGAUUAAUGAAUUAAUGAUCCAUUAUUAGUGAUUAUAAGAUUAAGUUACUUUAGGGAUAACAGCGUAAUUUUUUUGGAGAGUUCAUAUCGAUAAAAAAGAUUGCGACCUCGAUGUUGGAUUAAGAUAUAAUUUUGGGUGCAGCAAUUCAAAUUUUAAGUCUGUUCGACUUUUAAAUUCUUACAUGAUCUGAGUUCAAACCGGCGUGAGCCAGGUUGGUUUCUAUCUUUAAUUUAUAAAAAUACUUUAGUACGAAAGGAUUAGGUAUUUGAAUAAAUUUAUUUUAUUUUUAGAAUAUUAUUAAUACUAUUUU